RNAcentral lists this ribosomal RNA (1404 nucleotides) under uncultured bacterium. RNAcentral's name for it is "partial 16S ribosomal RNA". It matches the Rfam family "Bacterial small subunit ribosomal RNA". The record is from RNAcentral.
AGAGUUUGAUCCUGGCUCAGGAUGAACGCUAGCGGCAGGCUUAACACAUGCAAGUCGAGGGGCAGCGGGGAGGAAGCUUGCUUUCUCCGCCGGCGACCGGCGCACGGGUGAGUAACACGUAUGCAACCUGCCCCUGUCAGGGGGACAACCCGCCGAAAGGCGGGCUAAACCCGCGUACAUGCCACCGGGGCAUCCCGGAGGCAGGAAAGGCUUCGGCCGGACAGGGAUGGGCAUGCGGCGCAUUAGGCAGUAGGCGGGGUAACGGCCCACCUAACCGACGAUGCGUAGGGGUUCUGAGAGGAAGGUCCCCCACACUGGUACUGAGACACGGACCAGACUCCUACGGGAGGCAGCAGUGAGGAAUAUUGGUCAAUGGUCGGGAGACUGAACCAGCCAAGCCGCGUGAGGGAGGAAGGUACAGAGUAUCGUAAACCUCUUUUGUCAGGGAACAAAGGCGGGGACGUGUCCCCGGAUGAGUGUACCUGAAGAAAAAGCAUCGGCUAACUCCGUGCCAGCAGUCGCGGUAAUACGGAGGAUGCGAGCGUUAUCCGGAUUUAUUGGGUUUAAAGGGUGCGCAGGCGGUCUGUUAAGUCAGCGGUCAAAGCCCGGGGCUCAACCCCGGCCCGCCGUUGAAACUGGCAGUCUCGAGUUGGAGAGAAGUAUGCGGAAUGCGCGGUGUAGCGGUGAAAUGCAUAGAUAUCGCGCAGAACUCCGAUUGCGAAGGCAGCAUGCCGGCUCCACACUGACGCUGAGGCACGAAAGCGUGGGUAUCGAACAGGAUUAGAUACCCUGGUAGUCCACGCAGUAAACGAUGAAUGCUGGCUGUCCGGGGGGAUUGACCCCUGGGUGGCGAAGCGAAAGCGAUAAGCAUUCCACCUGGGGAGUACGCCGGCAACGGUGAAACUCAAAGGAAUUGACGGGGGCCCGCACAAGCGGAGGAACAUGUGGUUUAAUUCGAUGAUACGCGAGGAACCUUACCCGGGCUCAAACGGGGAGUGACUCAGGCAGAGACGCCUGUUUCCCACGGGACACUCCCCGAGGUGCUGCAUGGUUGUCGUCAGCUCGUGCCGUGAGGUGUCGGCUUAAGUGCCAUAACGAGCGCAACCCCCGCGUGCAGUUGCUAACAGAUAACGCUGAGGACUCUGCACGGACUGCCGGCGCAAGCCGCGAGGAAGGCGGGGAUGACGUCAAAUCAGCACGGCCCUUACGUCCGGGGCGACACACGUGUUACAAUGGGUGGUACAGCGGGAAGCCAGGCGGCGACGCCGAGCGGAACCCGAAAUCCACUCUCAGUUCGGAUCGGAGUCUGCAACCCGACUCCGUGAAGCUGGAUUCGCUAGUAAUCUCGCAUCAGCCAUGGCGCGGUGAAUACGUUCCCGGGCCUUGCACUCACAGCCCGUCAAG